GUGAAAGUCGAGCGAAUCUUUGGGAGCUUGCUCCCAUUGGUUAUUGCGGACGGGUGAGUAAAAAUGGGCAACCUACCUGUAAGACUGGGAUAACUUCGGGAAACCGGAGCUAAUACCGGAUAAUUCUUUUCUACACAUGUAGAAAAGCUGAAAGACGGUUUCGGCUGUCACUUACAGAUGGGCCCGCGGCGCAUUAGCUAGUUGGUGAGGUAACGGCUCACCAAGGCAACGAUGCGUAGCCGACCUGAGAGGGUGAUCGGCCACACUGGGACUGAGACACGGCCCAGACUC
RNAcentral lists this unclassified non-coding RNA (291 nucleotides) under uncultured bacterium. RNAcentral's name for it is "partial contains 16S ribosomal RNA and 16S-23S ribosomal RNA intergenic spacer region". It matches the Rfam family "Bacterial small subunit ribosomal RNA", at positions 56 to 338 of the family's 1533-position model. The record is from RNAcentral.